UAUAAAGCUAAAGCACGGCCAUCCGUCUAAUAGAAUUAGCACAUGUAGGUCGUUGCACAGCUUUCGGACAUUUGGAGUGCUUGAUUUAGCGACGCACUGACUCAUAUGGAGGACCCUGUUGAUCCCGAAACUAACGAUCUGGCGCGGUAUGGCUUGUUUUCCGCUGCAUUAGGCCCGAGGUCAUCCAGGGUUCGAGACUUGUGACUCUUUCCUGGACAAGUCACAGUCCCUGAACCAUGUUUACUUUAAGUUUGCAUUUGUAAUGUUUAGACAAAGUUAUGGUUGUUGGGUGUUAACCCGUUAAGACAAUGUUUAAUAUUUUUAUUAUCAAUGGAUGAUCUUGCAUAUUU
Molecule: long non-coding RNA, 350 nt
Filed under: Helianthus annuus (common sunflower)
Lineage: Eukaryota; Viridiplantae; Streptophyta; Magnoliopsida; Asterales; Asteraceae
Description: hypothetical non coding rna
Source: RNAcentral